CCCGAGUGCCAGCACAGGCUGGCUGUCCACCAGUGUAAAAAACUGGUGAAGAAAGGGCCGGGCAAGACCGGUGCCAGCCGCCGCGGUAAUACCGGCGGCUCGAGUGGUGGCCGCUUUUACUGGGCUUAAAGGGUCCGUAGCUGGAUCUGCAAGUCCCUUGAGAAAUCCAUCGGCUUAACUGAUGGGCGUUCAGGGGAUACUGUGGUUCUAGGGACCGGGAGAGGUGAGAGGUACUGCCGGGGUAGGAGUGAAAUCCUGUAAUCCCGGUGGGACGACCUAUGGCGAAGGCAUCUCACCAGAACGGCUCCGACAGUGAGGGACGAAAGCUGGGGGAGCAAACCGGAUUAGAUACCCGGGUAGUCCCAGCUGUAAACGAUGCGCGUUAGGUGUGUCAGUGACCACGUGUCACUGAGGUGCCGAAGGGAAACCGUGAAACGCGCCGCCUGGGGAGUACGGUCGCAAGGCUGAAACUUAAAGGAAUUGGCGGGGGAGCACCACAACGGGUGGAGCCUGCGGUUUAAUCGGACUCAACGCCGGAAAUCUCACCGGAUAAGACAGCUGAAUGAUAGUCGGGAUGAAGACUCUACUUGACUAGCUGAGAGGAGGUGCAUGGCCGUCGUCAGUUCGUACUGUGAAGCAUCCUGUUUAGUCAGGCAACGAGCGAGACCCACGCCAACAAUUGCCAGCAUAACCUUCGGGUUGAUGGGGACAUCGUUGGGACCGCCUCUGCUAAAGGGGAGGAAGGAAUGGGCAACGGUAGGUCAGCAUGCCCCGAAUUAUCCGGGCUACACGCGGGCUACAAUGGUCAGGACAAUGGGUUCCGACACCGAAAGGUGAAGGCAAUCUCCUAAACCUGUCCGAAGUUCGGAUUGCGGGUUGUAACUCACCCGCAUGAAGCUGGAAUCCGUAGUAAUCGCGUUUCAACAUAGCGCGGUGAAUAUGUCCCUG
This 948-nucleotide ribosomal RNA is filed under the name uncultured euryarchaeote. Its description in RNAcentral is "bacterial SSU rRNA". It matches the Rfam family "Archaeal small subunit ribosomal RNA", at positions 380 to 1332 of the family's 1478-position model. Lineage: Archaea; Methanobacteriati; Methanobacteriota. The record is from RNAcentral.